RNAcentral lists this ribosomal RNA (2920 nucleotides) under Staphylococcus aureus. Its description in RNAcentral is "bacterial LSU rRNA". It matches the Rfam family "Bacterial large subunit ribosomal RNA". Lineage: Bacteria; Bacillati; Bacillota; Bacilli; Caryophanales; Staphylococcaceae. The record is from RNAcentral.
UUAAGUUAUUAAGGGCGCACGGUGGAUGCCUUGGCACUAGAAGCCGAUGAAGGACGUUACUAACGACGAUAUGCUUUGGGGAGCUGUAAGUAAGCUUUGAUCCAGAGAUUUCCGAAUGGGGAAACCCAGCAUGAGUUAUGUCAUGUUAUCGAUAUGUGAAUACAUAGCAUAUCAGAAGGCACACCCGGAGAACUGAAACAUCUUAGUACCCGGAGGAAGAGAAAGAAAAUUCGAUUCCCUUAGUAGCGGCGAGCGAAACGGGAAGAGCCCAAACCAACAAGCUUGCUUGUUGGGGUUGUAGGACACUCUAUACGGAGUUACAAAGGACGACAUUAGACGAAUCAUCUGGAAAGAUGAAUCAAAGAAGGUAAUAAUCCUGUAGUCGAAAAUGUUGUCUCUCUUGAGUGGAUCCUGAGUACGACGGAGCACGUGAAAUUCCGUCGGAAUCUGGGAGGACCAUCUCCUAAGGCUAAAUACUCUCUAGUGACCGAUAGUGAACCAGUACCGUGAGGGAAAGGUGAAAAGCACCCCGGAAGGGGAGUGAAAUAGAACCUGAAACCGUGUGCUUACAAGUAGUCAGAGCCCGUUAAUGGGUGAUGGCGUGCCUUUUGUAGAAUGAACCGGCGAGUUACGAUUUGAUGCAAGGUUAAGCAGUAAAUGUGGAGCCGUAGCGGAAGCGAGUCUGAAUAGGGCGUUUAGUAUUUGGUCGUAGACCCGAAACCAGGUGAUCUACCCUUGGUCAGGUUGAAGUUCAGGUAACACUGAAUGGAGGACCGAACCGACUUACGUUGAAAAGUGAGCGGAUGAACUGAGGGUAGCGGAGAAAUUCCAAUCGAACCUGGAGAUAGCUGGUUCUCUCCGAAAUAGCUUUAGGGCUAGCCUCAAGUGAUGAUUAUUGGAGGUAGAGCACUGUUUGGACGAGGGGCCCCUCUCGGGUUACCGAAUUCAGACAAACUCCGAAUGCCAAUUAAUUUAACUUGGGAGUCAGAACAUGGGUGAUAAGGUCCGUGUUCGAAAGGGAAACAGCCCAGACCACCAGCUAAGGUCCCAAAAUAUAUGUUAAGUGGAAAAGGAUGUGGCGUUGCCCAGACAACUAGGAUGUUGGCUUAGAAGCAGCCAUCAUUUAAAGAGUGCGUAAUAGCUCACUAGUCGAGUGACACUGCGCCGAAAAUGUACCGGGGCUAAACAUAUUACCGAAGCUGUGGAUUGUCCUUUGGACAAUGGUAGGAGAGCGUUCUAAGGGCGUUGAAGCAUGAUCGUAAGGACAUGUGGAGCGCUUAGAAGUGAGAAUGCCGGUGUGAGUAGCGAAAGACGGGUGAGAAUCCCGUCCACCGAUUGACUAAGGUUUCCAGAGGAAGGCUCGUCCGCUCUGGGUUAGUCGGGUCCUAAGCUGAGGCCGACAGGCGUAGGCGAUGGAUAACAGGUUGAUAUUCCUGUACCACCUAUAAUCGUUUUAAUCGAUGGGGGGACGCAGUAGGAUAGGCGAAGCGUGCGAUUGGAUUGCACGUCUAAGCAGUAAGGCUGAGUAUUAGGCAAAUCCGGUACUCGUUAAGGCUGAGCUGUGAUGGGGAGAAGACAUUGUGUCUUCGAGUCGUUGAUUUCACACUGCCGAGAAAAGCCUCUAGAUAGAAAAUAGGUGCCCGUACCGCAAACCGACACAGGUAGUCAAGAUGAGAAUUCUAAGGUGAGCGAGCGAACUCUCGUUAAGGAACUCGGCAAAAUGACCCCGUAACUUCGGGAGAAGGGGUGCUCUUUAGGGUUAACGCCCAGAAGAGCCGCAGUGAAUAGGCCCAAGCGACUGUUUAUCAAAAACACAGGUCUCUGCUAAACCGUAAGGUGAUGUAUAGGGGCUGACGCCUGCCCGGUGCUGGAAGGUUAAGAGGAGUGGUUAGCUUCUGCGAAGCUACGAAUCGAAGCCCCAGUAAACGGCGGCCGUAACUAUAACGGUCCUAAGGUAGCGAAAUUCCUUGUCGGGUAAGUUCCGACCCGCACGAAAGGCGUAACGAUUCGGGCACUGUCUCAACGAGAGACUCGGUGAAAUCAUAGUACCUGUGAAGAUGCAGGUUACCCGCGACAGGACGGAAAGACCCCGUGGAGCUUUACUGUAGCCUGAUAUUGAAAUUCGGCACAGCUUGUACAGGAUAGGUAGGAGCCUUUGAAACGUGAGCGCUAGCUUACGUGGAGGCGCUGGUGGGAUACUACCCUAGCUGUGUUGGCUUUCUAACCCGCACCACUUAUCGUGGUGGGAGACAGUGUCAGGCGGGCAGUUUGACUGGGGCGGUCGCCUCCCAAAAGGUAAAGGAGCGCUCAAAGGUUCCCUCAGAAUGGUUGGAAAUCAUUCAUAGAGUGUAAAGGCAUAAGGGAGCUUGACUGCGAGACCUACAAGUCGAGCAGGGUCGAAAGACGGACUUAGUGAUCCGGUGGUUCCGCAUGGAAGGGCCAUCGCUCAACGGAUAAAAGCUACCCCGGGGAUAACAGGCUUAUCUCCCCCAAGAGUUCACAUCGACGGGGAGGUUUGGCACCUCGAUGUCGGCUCAUCGCAUCCUGGGGCUGUAGUCGGUCCCAAGGGUUGGGCUGUUCGCCCAUUAAAGCGGUACGCGAGCUGGGUUCAGAACGUCGUGAGACAGUUCGGUCCCUAUCCGUCGUGGGCGUAGGAAAUUUGAGAGGAGCUGUCCUUAGUACGAGAGGACCGGGAUGGACAUACCUCUGGUGUACCAGUUGUCGUGCCAACGGCAUAGCUGGGUAGCUAUGUGUGGACGGGAUAAGUGCUGAAAGCAUCUAAGCAUGAAGCCCCCCUCAAGAUGAGAUUUCCCAACUUCGGUUAUAAGAUCCCUCAAAGAUGAUGAGGUUAAUAGGUUCGAGGUGGAAGCAUGGUGACAUGUGGAGCUGACGAAUACUAAUCGAUCGAAGACUUAAUCAA